Molecule: ribosomal RNA, 429 nt
Filed under: Fusobacteriota bacterium
Lineage: Bacteria; Fusobacteriati; Fusobacteriota
Description: Fusobacteria bacterium partial 16S ribosomal RNA
Rfam family: Bacterial small subunit ribosomal RNA
Source: RNAcentral
UGGGGAAUAUUGCACAAUGGGCGCAAGCCUGAUGCAGCCAUGCCGCGUGUAUGAAGAAGGCCUUCGGGUUGUAAAGUACUUUCAGCGGGGAGGAAGGGAGUAAAGUUAAUACCUUUGCUCAUUGACGUUACCCGCAGAAGAAGCACCGGCUAACUCCGUGCCAGCAGCCGCGGUAAUACGGAGGGUGCAAGCGUUAAUCGGAAUUACUGGGCGUAAAGCGCACGCAGGCGGUUUGUUAAGUCAGAUGUGAAAUCCCCGGGCUCAACCUGGGAACUGCAUCGGAUACUGGCAAGCUAGAGUCUCGUAGAGGGGGGUAGAAUUCCAGGUGUAGCGGUGAAAUGCGUGGAGAUCUGGAGGAAUACCGGUGGCGAAGGCGGCCCCCUGGACGAAGACUGACGCUCAGGUGCGAAAGCGUGGGGAGCAAACAGG